UCCUAAGGUUACUUUUACCUUAGCCAACUAUGCCACUUGACUCGGUCUUGAGUCAAUCCACUGCGGAUAGUCCGCACACUGGCUGCUCAACAGCCCAUCGCACUCAAGGACUUAGCCACCCGGCGGCGAAAUCGUCGCACACGCCCAGCACUGGCUCAAGUCACCCUGCGGCAUAAUCCACAAACCCGGCUCAACCGGUAUAGGCCACAAAUUGGCUCACCCAUCCGGCGGCGAAAUCGUCGCACACGCCACGUCGAUGGUAUAGCCCCGGACGACGAAAUUGUCGCACACGCCCAACACCACUUUGG
RNAcentral lists this long non-coding RNA (308 nucleotides) under Ananas comosus (pineapple). RNAcentral describes it as "long non-coding RNA (ACOM_LNC016605)". The record is from RNAcentral. Lineage: Eukaryota; Viridiplantae; Streptophyta; Magnoliopsida; Poales; Bromeliaceae.